Myzus persicae (green peach aphid) is the source of this 971-nucleotide long non-coding RNA. RefSeq lists it as uncharacterized. The transcript is spliced from 2 exons. The record is from RefSeq and is a predicted model, not a curated record. NCBI's taxonomy places the organism in Eukaryota, Metazoa, Arthropoda, Insecta, Hemiptera, Aphididae.
UGUAUAUGCAACUGUAACAUUUAUUUUUUUUUUGCUUGCGUACUUUUAACCUAACCCUAAACGGAGCAGCACAACAUGCGCCGGACGAAUUUCUUCGUCCGGCUCCAAAUUGUGCGACGUCGUUUGGGAUGUAUAGGCUCACUCCUGACGAGUGACGUCACUACAUUUGUCAUGCGUUUCGGGUUCUGGUUGGUCCAUCAGUGGACAACGUAGAAGGAUGUUCGGUGCUGAGGACCACCGACAGCCACCCAUUAAUCUUUUAUCUAUGCAGCCACCGAAUUCGCUUGUCUUCGGGAUGCCAGCCGAUAUUACCCGAAGUUCCGGCUCAGACGUACACGUUGUCGUGUCAACUCUGUCCGGUGUAUCCACAACGGGGGAACUAAUCGUAUGGUCGACCAGCGACAUGUAAUGACGGAACGUUUGUUCUGCAUAGUUCGCUACGGGCACAUUGUUUUCCGGUGGACUGGAUGGUAGUAAGUUUGGUCGGAACGGGACUGACAACGACUGAUAAAUCUUGGCGUCUCCUACCGAGUGUCGACGACAUGUUGUGGCCACGUUUAGCGUCGACGAGUAUCUUAUUAUGGCCGGCCCUGUUCUAACGCUGGUUGGAAACGUCGAUGGUAUGUGAAAUUCAACCGAUCUUCGAACACUAACUUCAUCUUAUCACUCUCCGUCAACUGCAGCUUGAUGGAUUCAGGCGAGGAAUGUGGCUCUUCUGUGAUAAUAUCAAUUUUAUUACACUAUGGAACCUGUAGGAGGAGUUAGCUGAAGAAAAUAUGAAAAGGUGGCAGUGUAUACGUUGGCACCUCUUUUAUUUUCAUGGAUUAUUAGCUAGAUAUUAAAUUACUUAAAUGACAAUAAUAAAUUAUAUUAAAACAUGUUGUAUACAUUUUAUAAUUAAUGUUUAUAAUUAAUUAUAAAUUAUUUUAUAUAGUUUGCUAAGGUAAACGGAGUCAAUUUAGUAGAUUGCA